AAUGGACGAAUGUCUGAUGGAGCAACGCCGCGUGAGUGAAGAAGGAUUUCGGUUCGUAAAACUCUGUUGCAAGGGAAGAACAAGUAGCGUAGUAACUGGCGCUACCUUGACGGUACCUUGUUAGAAAGCCACGGCUAACUACGUGCCAGCAGCCGCGGUAAUACGUAGGUGGCAAGCGUUGUCCGGAAUUAUUGGGCGUAAAGCGCGCGCAGGUGGUUCCUUAAGUCUGAUGUGAAAGCCCCCGGCUCAACCGGGGAGGGUCAUUGGAAACUGGGGAACUUGAGUGCAGAAGAGGAUAGUGGAAUUCCAAGUGUAGCGGUGAAAUGCGUAGAGAUUUGGAGGAACACCAGUGGCGAAGGCGACUGUCUGGUCUGUAACUGACACUGAGGCGCGAAAGCGUGGGGAGCAAACAGGAUUAGAUACCCUGGUAGUCCACGCCGUAAACGAUGAGUGCUAAGUGUUGGGGGGUUUCCGCCCCUCAGUGCUGCAGCUAACGCAUUAAGCACUCCGCCUGGGGAGU
RNAcentral lists this ribosomal RNA (520 nucleotides) under uncultured bacterium. RNAcentral describes it as "bacterial SSU rRNA". It matches the Rfam family "Bacterial small subunit ribosomal RNA", at positions 370 to 881 of the family's 1533-position model. The record is from RNAcentral.